This 301-nucleotide ribosomal RNA is filed under the name uncultured bacterium. RNAcentral's name for it is "partial 16S ribosomal RNA". It matches the Rfam family "Bacterial small subunit ribosomal RNA", at positions 509 to 809 of the family's 1533-position model. The record is from RNAcentral.
CAGCAGCCGCGGUAAUACGUAGGGUGCAAGCGUUAAUCGGAAUUACUGGGCGUAAAGCGUGCGCAGGCGGUUUGUUAAGACAGAUGUGAAAUCCCCGGGCUCAACCUGGGAACUGCAUUUGUGACUGGCAAGCUAGAGUCUGGCAGAGGGGGGUGGAAUUCCGCGUGUAGCAGUGAAAUGCGUAGAUAUGCGGAGGAACACCGAUGGCGAAGGCAGCCCCCUGGGCCAACACUGACGCUCAUGCACGAAAGCGUGGGGAGCAAACAGGAUUAGAGACCCCAGUAGUCCCUGUCUCUUAUAA